Molecule: long non-coding RNA, 434 nt
Filed under: Brassica rapa (field mustard)
Lineage: Eukaryota; Viridiplantae; Streptophyta; Magnoliopsida; Brassicales; Brassicaceae
Description: long non-coding RNA (BRAP_LNC008879)
Source: RNAcentral
AGGAUUUCAGACAAGUAUCUGGAACUGCAGGUAAAAAUUAGUUCCUAAGUUCUCUAUCUCUCUAAUUUCUCUCUUGAGUCAAAGUAUGCUUCCAUUGCAGGAUCAGUGACCAAGAUUGGACAUGCUUCCAUGAAUCAAAACUUAAUGGUGGUAGCCACGAAGCUCUGUUCACUUCUUUUUGACCUAUAUCCAAAAAUUCUUUGUGAAAGAGAGCCUUGAAGAUUGCCGCCUCCAAGUCCCGUUUCGAACUCUUUUAUUGGAGUCUUUAUGAAUCAAGCCUUAAUGGUUUUAGCCACCAAGUCCUGUUCAGACUCAUCCUAAGUAAGCAAUUGAUCUUAUUUUUAUUUAUUUUUUUAUUUUUUUUGAAGAAAUGGAUAGAACUGAAAUAUAAAUCACUAACUAAUCUAGGGUCAAAAAUUAGAGAGAAAAAAUGU